UGAGGAAUAUUGGUCAAUGGGGGCAACCCUGAACCAGCCAAGUCGCGUGAAGGAUGAAGGUCUUAUGGAUUGUAAACUUCUUUUAUACAGGAAUAAAUUGGGGGACGUGUCCCCUUUUGCAUGUACUGUAUGAAUAAGGAUCGGCUAACUCCGUGCCAGCAGCCGCGGUAAUACGGAGGAUCCGAGCGUUAUCCGGAUUUAUUGGGUUUAAAGGGUGCGCAGGCGGGAUGUUAAGUCGGCGGUGAAAUUUUGCAGCUCAACUGUAAAAGUGCCUUCGAUACUGGCUUCCUUGAGUGUGGAUGAAGUAGGCGGAAUUUGUGGUGUAGCGGUGAAAUGCUUAGAUAUCACGAGGAACUCCGAUUGCGCAGGCAGCUUACUAAGCCACAACUGACGCUCAUGCACGAAGGCGAGGGGAUCAAACA
Molecule: ribosomal RNA, 422 nt
Filed under: uncultured bacterium
Lineage: Bacteria
Description: bacterial SSU rRNA
Rfam family: Bacterial small subunit ribosomal RNA
Source: RNAcentral